RNAcentral lists this ribosomal RNA (579 nucleotides) under uncultured Alphaproteobacteria bacterium. RNAcentral's name for it is "bacterial SSU rRNA". It matches the Rfam family "Bacterial small subunit ribosomal RNA", at positions 1 to 585 of the family's 1533-position model. The record is from RNAcentral. Lineage: Bacteria; Pseudomonadati; Pseudomonadota; Alphaproteobacteria.
GUUGGGAGCUCUCCCAUAUGGUCGACCUGCAGGCGGCCGCGAAUUCACUAGUGAUUAGAGUUUGAUCAUGGCUCAGAACGAACGCUGGCGGCAUGCCUAACACAUGCAAGUCGAACGAACCCUUCGGGGUUAGUGGCGCACGGGUGCGUAACGCGUGGGAAUCUGCCCUUUGCUUCGGAAUAACAGUUAGAAAUGACUGCUAAUACCGGAUGAUGUCUUCGGACCAAAGAUUUAUCGGCAAAGGAUGAGCCCGCGUAGGAUUAGGUAGUUGGUGGGGUAAAGGCCUACCAAGCCGACGAUCCUUAGCUGGUCUGAGAGGAUGAUCAGCCACACUGGGACUGAGACACGGCCCAGACUCCUACGGGAGGCAGCAGUGGGGAAUAUUGGACAAUGGGCGAAAGCCUGAUCCAGCAAUGCCGCGUGAGUGAUGAAGGCCUUCGGGUCGUAAAGCUCUUUUACCAGGGAUGAUAAUGACAGUACCUGGAGAAUAAGCUCCGGCUACUCCGUGCCAGCAGCCGCGGUAAAAUCGAAUUCCCGCGGCCGCCAUGGCGGCCGGGAGCAUGCGACGUCGGGCCCAAU